UACGUAGGGUGCAAGCGUUAAUCGGAAUUACUGGGCGUAAAGCGUGCGCAGGCGGCUUUGCAAGACAGAUGUGAAAUCCCCGGGCUCAACCUGGGAACUGCAUUUGUGACUGCAUGGCUAGAGUUUGGCAGAGGGGGGUAGAAUUCCACGUGUAGCAGUGAAAUGCGUAGAUAUGUGGAGGAACACCGAUGGCGAAGGCAGCCCCCUGGGUCAAGACUGACGCUCAUGCACGAAAGCGUGGGGAGCAAACAGG
This 253-nucleotide ribosomal RNA is filed under the name uncultured bacterium. RNAcentral describes it as "partial 16S ribosomal RNA". It matches the Rfam family "Bacterial small subunit ribosomal RNA", at positions 524 to 776 of the family's 1533-position model. The record is from RNAcentral.